RNAcentral lists this ribosomal RNA (483 nucleotides) under uncultured bacterium. RNAcentral describes it as "partial 16S ribosomal RNA". It matches the Rfam family "Bacterial small subunit ribosomal RNA", at positions 28 to 507 of the family's 1533-position model. The record is from RNAcentral.
GACGAACGCUGGCGGCGUGCUUAACACAUGCAAGUCGAACGCUGAAGCUCAGCUUUUGUUGGGUGGAUGAGUGGCGAACGGGUGAGUAACACGUGAGUAACCUGCCUCCUUCUUUGGGAUGACGCCCGGAAACGGGUGCUAAUACUGGAUAUUCACUGGUCUUCGCAUGGGGGUUGGUGGAAAGGGUUUUUCUGGUGGGGGAUGUGCUCGCGGCCUAUCAGCUUGUUGGUGGGGUGAUGGCCUACCCAGGCUUUGACGGGUAGCCGGCCUGAGCGGGUGACCGGUCACAUUGGGACUGAGAUACGGCCCAGACUCCUACGGGAGGCAGCAGUGGGGAAUAUGGCACAAUGGGCGCCAGCCUGAUGCAGCGACGCCGCGUGAGGGAUGGAGGCCUUCGGGUUGUGAACCUCUUUCGCUCAUGGUCAAGCCGCAACAAUGGUUGUGGUGAGGGUAGUGGGUAAAGAAGCGCCGGCUAACUACGUG